GUUUCGAUAGCUCAAAGGUAGAGCACUUGGCUUUUAGCCAAAAGGUUGUAGGUUCGAAUCCUAUUCGGAGCU
This 72-nucleotide transfer RNA is filed under the name Companilactobacillus alimentarius. RNAcentral's name for it is "tRNA-Lys". It matches the Rfam family "tRNA". From Rfam's summary of the family: Transfer RNA (tRNA) molecules are approximately 80 nucleotides in length. Their secondary structure includes four short double-helical elements and three loops (D, anti-codon, and T loops). Further hydrogen bonds mediate the characteristic L-shaped molecular structure. tRNAs have two regions of fundamental functional importance: the anti-codon, which is responsible for specific mRNA codon recognition, and the 3' end, to which the tRNAs corresponding amino acid is attached (by aminoacyl-tRNA synthetases). tRNAs cope with the degeneracy of the genetic code in two manners: having more than one tRNA (with a specific anti-codon) for a particular amino acid; and 'wobble' base-pairing, i.e. permitting non-standard base-pairing at the 3rd anti-codon position. Lineage: Bacteria; Bacillati; Bacillota; Bacilli; Lactobacillales; Lactobacillaceae. The record is from RNAcentral.